CUCCUGGACGCCCAGGCGCGCGCCCUCGCGGAUGCUGGGCAGCAGGGGAACAGCGCGAGCAGGGCUGCCCACAGCGCGCACAGGCGGGACAGUCCCAGGAGCGCCGCUCGGUCCAUGGCCCCCGCAUGGAUUCCCGCAGCCCCAGCCACUCCUCUUCGGCCCUCCCUGCCCCGAGGCCCGCCAGGCCAGAGGUCAGCUCCCCAGCACCAAGUUCUCCGGCGCUCUCCUCCUCCUUGCAGACAACAUAAAACGAAGGCCAGAAGCGAGAGGGGCUCUCGGCGGCCUCCCCUCCCUCGCUGGGAGCAGUGCGAGGAGGCGGAGGAAGGAUCUGGAGGCUCUCCUCCCGCGCCCGGCUGGAGACGUGCGUGCGGGAGAUGCGGGAGCUGCCCUCGCAUUCCAAGGAGAAUCAUCUUUUUGAGUCAGAGUUGGUACCAAACAAGUUGACCUUUCAACACCCUGCUUGAGGUCCCAAUGCGUCCAGAAGCUUUGGAGGACAGGACGGGAGAAAGGCCUUCCCAUGGGGACCGACGUCAUCUCCCCAAGCACGCAUGUUUAGCCAAAGGAAGGGUGCAGCCUGGCCUCUAACCGACCGCAGUCAACCCGUGUUGUGCGAUUUCCUUUCCCAGGGUUGUCUCCCAUUCCCCAUCCUUGAAAGCACUGUCGGAAGAUGGAAGGCAAGAAAGAAUGAGUGAAAGCUGUCUGGAGGGUUCUAGAAUAGUGGGGAGCUGUGUCCUGACCCUCUGCUCCACUCCACAUGAUGGCUCUCUGGGCAGGGCUACAACUGAAGACAGAUUUUAAAAACAUGCUUAUUAAGCACCUACCAUGUGGGCAGGAAGGACUGUGGGACAUUAGAGAGACAAGACCCAUUCCCUCGAGGGCACAAACCAGCCCUGGAGAGGAGCCUACAGCAAAAUAACUGGAGGUUGUUGGUAAAGGAGAGAAUGAAACCCAGCCAGGUCCUUGCUGGAGCCAAAGAGGACCCGGAAGCAGAAUGUCAUGGUGCCUGGCCUUUAGGAAGGUUGGUUAACCAGCAUUCUGCAGUCUCUGGGGGAACUCUGAAGGCAAGCAGGACAUGCUUAGCUGUGGGACAGCCUUGCCUCCCAUAGUGGGUGACAGGAAAUGUUUUGCAGUGGCAUCACCUGCUCCUCAGAGGACUUAUGAAAUGUUUGUAAAUUCUCAGGUGAACAGAACAGCUUAGUGGGUGGCAAAAACCAGACCUACCCAAAUAAAAG
Long non-coding RNA from Myotis brandtii (Brandt's bat), 1232 nucleotides. RefSeq lists it as uncharacterized. The transcript is spliced from 3 exons. Lineage: Eukaryota; Metazoa; Chordata; Mammalia; Chiroptera; Vespertilionidae. The record is from RefSeq and is a predicted model, not a curated record.